CAGUCGCCGCGGUAAUACGAAGGGUGCAAGCGUUAAUCGGAAUUACUGGGCGUAAAGCGCACGCAGGCGGUCUGACAAGUCAGAUGUGAAAUCCCCGGGCUUAACCUGGGAACUGCAUUUGAAACUGUCAGGCUGGAGUCUUGUAGAGGGGGGUGGAAUUCCAGGUGUAGCGGUGAAAUGCGUAGAGAUCUGGAGGAAUACCGGUGGCGAAGGCGGCCCCCUGGACAAAGACUGACGCUCAGGUGCGAAAGCGUGGGGAGCAAACAGGAUUAGAUACCCCUGUAGUCCCUGUCUCUUAUAC
Molecule: ribosomal RNA, 301 nt
Filed under: uncultured bacterium
Lineage: Bacteria
Description: partial 16S ribosomal RNA
Rfam family: Bacterial small subunit ribosomal RNA
Source: RNAcentral